Molecule: unclassified non-coding RNA, 899 nt
Organism: Lingula anatina
Lineage: Eukaryota; Metazoa; Brachiopoda; Lingulata; Lingulida; Lingulidae
Source: RefSeq, a predicted model, not a curated record
AUAUGAUGUUAUAUCGGAGUAGGUCAGUUUAGAGACUGGGAUGCUCGUUGACGGAGGAGAAAUUCGUGAAUACGAUGCGUGAUAAAAUGCGUUCAUACAGGGAAACUUGUUCCGUUGGGCUAUGUGGGAUGCUAAUUGCGUUUUUGUUAGGCACAGCACUGGUGGAGCCUGUGACGUCACAAACUGAACACGUUUUGCUUAACUGCACAUUUGAAGAUCCCACCAUUUGUAACUUCAAGUUCGACCGGAAUCACAGUCAGGCUGAGUGGAUACGGCACCGAGGACAAACUCCGAGUAGUAGGACAGGGCCCGAUGGUGAUCACACGACUGGUGAUAAAACUAAGGAGAUGUUGUAGGCAAGGGUUUACGCUUCUUUAUACAACUACGAUAUUGAAAACAAAAGAAUCAGAGGGAGGAGGGAAGCAGGAUGACGAUGGAUACUACAUGUACAUGGAGGCGAGUAGGGUCCUUCCAGACUCACAGGCCAGACUUCAGUUUCCACCACUGCCUAGAUCCACGACUCCGCGCUGAGUGCACUUUUCAUACCACUUGCUUACUUUAUAUGGUGUAAUUGGCGGACUCCUAGAGGUUGUAGGUCACGGAGGCAAUGGUUCUAUCCGUAUAUGGUCAAUAUCAGGUAGUGUGCGUGUGCGUGUACGUGUGCAUGUGCGUUUACUACAGAGAAACAUGUCAAAUGACACUCCCUUCAUUUGAUUAAUCUACUCCACAAAUAAAUGUAGCUGUCAGUAAAUAUAAAACUUUUACUUUCAAUAACAAAAAUAUGUAAAAAUUAUGAAUUUCUGUUUUCAUUUUCACAAGGAAACCAAGGAUCACAAUGGAAAAACGCGAAAGUUACUAUCCCUGCCGAUAUAGUAAACAUAGAAUUUGUAGCCGUUCGU